GUGUCAGCCGCCGCGGUAAUACGGGGGGGGUAAGCGUUGUUCGGAAUUACUGGGCGUAAAGGGCUCGUAGGCGGCCAACUAAGUCAGACGUGAAAUCCCUCAGCUUAACUGGGGAACUGCGUCUGAUACUGGAUGGCUUGGAUUCGGGAGAGGAAUGCGGAAUUCCAGGUGUAGCGGUGAAAUGCGUAGAUAUCUGGAGGAACACCGGUGGCGAAGGCGGCAUUCUGGACCGACAUUGACGCUGAGGAGCGAAAGCCAGGGGAGCAAACGGGAUUAGAAACCCCAGUAGUCC
This 292-nucleotide ribosomal RNA is filed under the name uncultured bacterium. RNAcentral's name for it is "partial 16S ribosomal RNA". It matches the Rfam family "Bacterial small subunit ribosomal RNA", at positions 505 to 796 of the family's 1533-position model. The record is from RNAcentral.